AGGAUGAACGCUGGCGGCGUGCCUAACACAUGCAAGUCGAACGUCCUGUCUCGCAAGAGGCAGGGAGUGGCGGACGGGUGAGUACCACGUGGGUUAUCUACCGUGAGGUGAGGAAUACCGGCGAGAAAUCGCCGACAAAACCGCAUAGGCUCGAUGCAAGUCGAGCAAAGCUUUCUCGCAAGAGGGAGCGCCACACGAGGAGCCUGCGCCCGAUUAGCUGGCUGGUGGAGUAAUGGUUCACCAGGGCGACGAUCGGUAGCUGGUCUGAGAGGACGAUCAGCCACACUGGGAUUGAGAACGGCCCAGACUCCUACGGGGGGCAGCAGUGAGGAAUUUUCGUCAAUGGGGGCAACCCUGAACGAGCAACGCCGCGUGCAGGAAGAAGGUUUUCGGAUCGUAAACUGCUUUUCUCGGGGAAGAGAACGGACGGUACCCGAGGAAGAAGCCCCGGCUAACUACGCGCCAGCAGCCGCGGUAA
Molecule: ribosomal RNA, 478 nt
Filed under: uncultured bacterium
Lineage: Bacteria
Description: SSU rRNA
Rfam family: Bacterial small subunit ribosomal RNA
Source: RNAcentral